AGUUUGAUCCUGGCUCAGGAUGAACGCUGGCGGCGUGCUUAACACAUGCAAGUCGAACGGGGAUGCCAUUUUUGAAGCGAUUAGCUUGCUAAGAGUGGAAAUGUUGGCAUCUUAGUGGCGGACGGGUGAGUAACGCGUGGGGAACCUGCCCUGUACAGGGGGAUAACACUUAGAAAUAGGUGCUAAUACCGCAUAAGCGCACAGUAUCGCAUGAUACAGUGUGAAAAACUCCGGUGGUACAGGAUGGACCCGCGUCUGAUUAGCUGGUUGGCGGGGUAACGGCCCACCAAGGCGACGAUCAGUAGCCGGCCUGAGAGGGUGAACGGCCACAUUGGGACUGAGACACGGCCCAAACUCCUACGGGAGGCAGCAGGUGGGGAAUAUUGGACAAUGGGGGGAACCCUGAUCCAGCGACGCCGCGUGAGUGAAGAAGUAUUUCGGUAUGUAAAGCUCUAUCAGCAGGGAAGAAAAUGACGGUACCUGACUAAGAAGCCCCGGCUAACUACGUG
Molecule: ribosomal RNA, 509 nt
Filed under: uncultured Lachnospiraceae bacterium
Lineage: Bacteria; Bacillati; Bacillota; Clostridia; Lachnospirales; Lachnospiraceae
Description: bacterial SSU rRNA
Rfam family: Bacterial small subunit ribosomal RNA
Source: RNAcentral